CUAAAGUCUGGGCCGCACGCGCGCUACACUGACAGAGCCAACGAGUUAUUCACCUUGGCCGGAAGGUCUGGGUAAUCUUGUUAAACUCUGUCGUGCUGGGGAUAGAGCAUUGCAAUUAUUGCUCUUCAACGAGGAAUGCCUAGUAAGCGCAUGUCAUCAGCAUGCGUUGAUUACGUCCCUGCCCUUUGUACACACCGCCCGUCGCUACUACCGAUUGAAUGGCUCAGUGAGGCCUCCGGACUGGCUCGAAGAGGUUGGCAACGACCACUUCGAGCCGGAAAGCUGGUCAAACUCGGUCAUUUAGAGGAAGUAAAAGUCGUAACAAGGUUUCCGUAGGUGAACCUGCGGAAGGAUCAUUACCUAGAGUUGUAGGCUUUGCCUGCUAUCUCUUACCCAUGUCUUUUGAGUACCUUCGUUUCCUCGGCGGGUCCGCCCGCCGAUUGGACAAAACUUAAACCCUUUGCAGUUGCAAUCAGCGUCUGAAAAAACUUAAUAGUUACAACUUUCAACAACGGAUCUCUUGGUUCUGGCAUCGAUGAAGAACGCAGCGAAAUGCGAUAAGUAGUGUGAAUUGCAGAAUUCAGUGAAUCAUCGAAUCUUUGAACGCACAUUGCGCCCCUUGGUAUUCCAUGGGGCAUGCCUGUUCGAGCGUCAUUUGUACCUUCAAGCUCUGCUUGGUGUUGGGGGUUUGUCUCGCCUCUGCGUGUAGACUCGCCUCAAAACAAUUGGCAGCCGGCGUAUUGAUUUCGGAGCGCAGUACAUCUCGCGCUUUGCCCUCUUAACGACGACGAUCCAAAAGACAUUUUUCCCUCUUGACCUCGGACAGGGAGGGAACCCCUGACUUAGCUUUCAUAAGCGGGGAAAAAACCACGGGAUGCCUAUUACGGGAGGGAGGGCACCGCUCCAAUUUAAAUUGGGGCUCGCGCCCAUUUAAUUUCAAGGGGCUUUG
Molecule: ribosomal RNA, 949 nt
Filed under: Pleosporaceae sp. LM282
Lineage: Eukaryota; Fungi; Ascomycota; Dothideomycetes; Pleosporales; Pleosporaceae
Description: eukaryotic LSU rRNA
Rfam family: Eukaryotic small subunit ribosomal RNA (bases 1-359)
Source: RNAcentral